ACAAUGGAGAGUUUGAUCCUGGCUCAGGAUGAACGCUAGCGGCAGGCCUAAUACAUGCAAGUCGAACGGGAUUGGGGAGCUUGCUCCCCAUGAGAGUGGCGUACGGGUGCGUAACGCGUAUGCAACCUACCUUCAUCAGGGGGAUAGCCCGAAGAAAUUCGGAUUAACACCGCAUAAAAACACAGGAUAGCAUUAUCCAAUGUUCAAAUAUUUAUAGGAUGAAGAUGGGCAUGCGUGUCAUUAGCUAGUUGGUAAGGUAACGGCUUACCAAGGCGACGAUGACUAGGGGAUCUGAGAGGAUGACCCCCCACACUGGUACUGAGACACGGACCAGACUCCUACGGGAGGCAGCAGUAAGGAAUAUUGGUCAAUGGAGGCAACUCUGAACCAGC
RNAcentral lists this ribosomal RNA (392 nucleotides) under Flavobacterium sp. Its description in RNAcentral is "bacterial SSU rRNA". It matches the Rfam family "Bacterial small subunit ribosomal RNA", at positions 1 to 392 of the family's 1533-position model. The record is from RNAcentral. Lineage: Bacteria; Pseudomonadati; Bacteroidota; Flavobacteriia; Flavobacteriales; Flavobacteriaceae.